This 101-nucleotide ribosomal RNA is filed under the name Lentibacillus salicampi. RNAcentral's name for it is "partial 23S ribosomal RNA". It matches the Rfam family "Bacterial large subunit ribosomal RNA", at positions 1 to 99 of the family's 2925-position model. Lineage: Bacteria; Bacillati; Bacillota; Bacilli; Caryophanales; Bacillaceae. The record is from RNAcentral.
UUAGUUAAGUGAAGAAGAGCGCACGGUGAAUGCCUUGGCACCAGGAGCCGAAGAAGGACGGGACUAACACCGAUAUGCCCCGGGAAGUCGUAAGUAGACUG